AAUGUUAGAAGUUGUGAUCACUUAUUUACAGAAAAGCGUUAGCGAGCAGUUAUUUUUAUUAUCGAAAAAUUUACAAUACUGACAUGUCAGAAUCCCAUAUUUCUCAAAUAUUGCAUAUAUUUGAUAAAUUUUUUGAAUUAUUGGAAAACUCGUAUAUAAGUACACAAGUUACAAAAGAGACUGUAAAUAAAACUUUCGAAUGUGCUAAGUUUAUUGAGGCUACAGUAACAAAAGCAUAUAGUGAAAAGAUGGAAGACAUAUUGGAAAAUUAUUUUCGCCAGCAUUGCCUUAAAGAAAAAAAAACUAAAAUAUAUAAAUGCAGUGACUUGAAGUUUGCUUGUGAUAAAUUAUUAGAAAUAUAUAUGAAAGAUACUUCCAUCUCUACUACAAUUGUUGAUGACUUUCUGAAACUGUAUAUUCAAUCUUUUGGGAUAGAUAGAUUGAACAACUUUUUGCUGUGUACAUUGAGAAAUUCUACAUGUACAAAUAUGAUAUUAGAAUCUUUGGAAGAUAUAGGCUUAUCCAUAUCUAAAAUGGAAGAUGAAGCUUUGAUUAUGUCAUGGGAAUUUGAUCUUGAAAAUGGUCAGCAGAUAGAAGUAUCACAAAAAAUAACAAAAAUAUUAGAAGAUGGUCAUUUUUCCAGAUUUAUUAGCCUUGUUAUGAAUUUACAUAACAAGAGCAAAUUGAAGAUGUUAUUUAUGAAGUGUUUGUCACGUAAAGUCGUUGAAAAUGAUGUAUUAUUUUGUUUGACUUUAAUAAAUAUCGAAGAGAAAUUUUUUUUAAAGCUUCUGAAGGAUAGUCCUGAAUUUUGUAUCAAUUUUGUAGAUGCAAUAUUUUAUUUUGGACGAAAUAUGUCCAAAAUAAAUAAUGAAUGGAUAUUAGAUUCAACAUUCAAUUAUAAUCAUUUACUUAAAAUUAUGCACAGGUUAUUAAAUGGUCCUAAUGUAGUUCAUGAUAUAGUACAUAACAGACUACAGUUGGCUAAGAUGCAACCAGAUUGUACAAUAUGGCAUAGCAUUGAGAAAGAUAUCGCACAAUAGUGAUUUCUGUAUAAUAUGUACAAUAGUAAACAUUUAUUUGCAACAAAUUUCAUCUUUGGAUUUUAUAAUAUAUUCUCGUAUAUUUAUAUUUGUUUAUACUUGUACAUUAUUAAUAAAAUGUACACAAAAAAAACUGAGUGUACCAGAAACUACACCAUUUACUGCUGUAUUGAAAUUUGCUGCUGAAGAAUUUAAAGUAGCAGCAGCAACAUCAGCUAUUAUAACUGAUGAUGGAAUUGGUAUUAAUCCACAGCAAACUGCAG
Molecule: RNA transcript, 1303 nt
Organism: Vespula vulgaris
Lineage: Eukaryota; Metazoa; Arthropoda; Insecta; Hymenoptera; Vespidae
Gene: Ufm1
Gene name: ubiquitin-fold modifier 1
Exons: 2
Source: RefSeq, a predicted model, not a curated record